GACGGAGGAUGCAAGUGUUAUCCGGAAUCACUGGGCGUAAAGCGUCUGUAGGUGGUUUAAUAAGUCAACUGCUAAAUCUUGAGGCUCAACCUCAAAAUCGCAGUCGAAACUAUUAGGCUAGAGUAUAGUAGGGGUAAAGGGAAUUUCCAGUGGAGCGGUGAAAUGCGUAGAGAUUGGAAAGAACACCGAUGGCGAAGGCACUUUACUGGGCUAUUACUAACACUCAGAGACGAAAGCUAGGGUAGCAAAUGGG
RNAcentral lists this ribosomal RNA (253 nucleotides) under uncultured bacterium. RNAcentral's name for it is "partial 16S ribosomal RNA". It matches the Rfam family "Bacterial small subunit ribosomal RNA", at positions 524 to 776 of the family's 1533-position model. The record is from RNAcentral.